UACGGAGGGGGCUAGCGUUGUUCGGAAUUACUGGGCGUAAAGCGCACGUAGGCGGCUUUGUAAGUUAGAGGUGAAAGCCCCGGGCUCAACCUGGGAACGGCGCGCGAAACGGGAGGGCUGGAGUUCGGGAGAGGAGAGUGGAAUUCCCAGUGUAGAGGUGAAAUUCGUAGAUAUUGGGAAGAACACCGGUGGCGAAGGCGGCUCUCUGGACCGAGACUGACGCUGAGGCGCGAAAGCGUGGGGAGCAAACAGG
RNAcentral lists this ribosomal RNA (253 nucleotides) under uncultured bacterium. RNAcentral's name for it is "partial 16S ribosomal RNA". It matches the Rfam family "Bacterial small subunit ribosomal RNA", at positions 524 to 776 of the family's 1533-position model. The record is from RNAcentral.